AUGGGGUGCANCAGGCGCGAAAACUUCGCAAUGCGCGAAAGCGUGACGAGGUUAUCCCGAGUGCUGUCCGAUGAGGAUAGCUUUUCACCGAUGUAAAUAGUCAGUGGAAUAAGGGGGGGGCAAGACUGGUGUCNGCCGCCGCGGUAAUACCAGCCCCCCGAGUGGUGGGGACGAUUAUUUGGCCUAAAGCGUUCGUAGCCGGCUUGGUAAGUCCUCCGUUAAAUCUGACGACUUAAUCNUCAGGCUGCGGACGAUACUACUGGGCUAGGAGGCGGAAGAGGUCGACGGUAUUCCNGGGGUAGGAGUGGAAUCCUAUAAUCCUUGGAGGACCACCAGUGGCGAAGGCGGUCGACCAGAACGCGCUCGACGGUGAGGGACGAAAGCUGGGGGAGCGAACCGGAUUAGAUACCCGGGUAGUCCCAGCUGUAAACGAUGCAAGCUAGGUGUUGGCGCGGCUACGGGCCGUGCCAGUGCCCCAGGGAAGCCCUUAAGCUUGCCGCCUGGGGAGUACGGUCGCAAGGCUGAAACUUAAAGGAAUUGGCGGGGGAGCAC
RNAcentral lists this ribosomal RNA (552 nucleotides) under uncultured crenarchaeote. RNAcentral describes it as "bacterial SSU rRNA". It matches the Rfam family "Archaeal small subunit ribosomal RNA", at positions 325 to 879 of the family's 1478-position model. Lineage: Archaea; Thermoproteati; Thermoproteota. The record is from RNAcentral.